This 330-nucleotide ribosomal RNA is filed under the name Rickettsiales bacterium. RNAcentral describes it as "bacterial SSU rRNA". It matches the Rfam family "Bacterial small subunit ribosomal RNA", at positions 1 to 341 of the family's 1533-position model. The record is from RNAcentral. Lineage: Bacteria; Pseudomonadati; Pseudomonadota; Alphaproteobacteria; Rickettsiales.
UCAAACUUGAGAGUUUGAUCCUGGCUCAGAACGAACGCUGGCGGCAUGCUUAACACAUGCAAGUCGAACGAAGGUCCGGAGCUUGCUCCGGAUCCCUUAGUGGCGAACGGGUGAGUAACGCGUGGGAAUCUACCUAAGAAUGGGGAAUAACUGUUGGAAACGACAGCUAAUACCGCAUAAUCCCUUCGGGGCAAAGGCUUCGGCCGUUUUUAGAUGAGCCCGCGUUAGAUUAGGCUGUUGGUGAGGUAACGGCUCACCAAACCUACAAUCUAUAGCUGGUCUGAGAGGAUGAUCAGCCACACUGGGACUGAGACACGGCCCAGACUCCUA